UUAGAGUUUGAUCAUGGCUCAGAACGUACGCUGGCGGCACGCCUAACACAUGCAAGUCGAACGAAGUAGCAAUACUUAGUGGCAGACGGGUGAGUAACAUGUGGGUAUCUGCCCUUUGGCCUGGAAUAACACGAGGAAACUUGUGCUAAUACUGGAUAAGUCUUUACGGAGAAAGCUUUAUGCACCAUUGGAUGAGCCCGCACUUGAUUAGUUUGUUGGUGGGGUAAUGGCCUACCAAGACCGUGAUCAAUAGCUGAUUUGAGAGGAUGAUCAGCCACAUUGGGACUGAGACACGGCCCAAACUCCUACGGGAGGCAGCAGUGGGGAAUCUUGCACAAUGGAGGAAACUCUGAUGCAGCGAUGCCGCGUGAGUGAAGAAGGCCUUUGGGUUGUAAAGCUCUUUCGUCGGGGAAGAAAAUGACUGUACCCGAAUAAGAAGGUCCGGCUAACUUCGUGCCAGCAGCCGCGGUAAUACGAAGGGACCUAGCGUAGUUCGGAAUUACUGGGCUUAAAGAGUUCGUAGGUGGUUGAAAAAGUUGGUGGUGAAAUCCCAGAGCUUAACUCUGGAACUGCCAUCAAAACUUUUCAGCUAGAGUUUGAUAAAGGAAAGCAGAAUUUCUAGUGUAGAGGUGAAAUUCGUAGAUAUUAGAAAGAAUACCAAUUGCGAAGGCAGCUUUCUGGAUCAUUACUGACACUGAGGAACGAAAGCAUGGGUAGCGAAGAGGAUUAGAUACCCUCGUAGUCCAUGCCGUAAACGAUGUGUGUUAGACGUUGGAAAUUUAUUUUCAGUGUCGCAGCGAAAGCGAUAAACACACCGCCUGGGGAGUACGACCGCAAGGUUAAAACUCAAAUGAAUUGACGGGGACCCGCACAAGUAGUGGAGCAUGUGGUUUAAUUCGAAGAUACGCGCAGAACCUUACCAACACUUGACAUGUUCGUCGCAACUUUAAGAGAUUAAAGUUUUCGGUUCGGCCGGACGAAACACAGGUGCUGCAUGGCUGUCGUCAGCUCGUGUCGUGAGAUGUUGGGUUAAGUCCCGCAACGAGCGCAACCCUCACUUUUAGUUGCCAUCAUUAAGUUGGGCACUCUGAAAGAACUGCCAGUGAUAAGCUGGAGGAAGGUGGGGAUGACGUCAAGUCCUCAUGGCCCUUACGUGUUGGGCUACACACGUGCUACAAUGGUAUCUACAACAGGAAGCGAAACAGCGAUGUUAAGCAAAUCCUUAAAAGAUACCUCAGUUCGGAUUGCACUCUGCAACUCGAGUGCAUGAAGCUGGAAUUACUAGUAAUCGUGGAUCAGCGUGCCACGGUGAAUGCGUUCCCGGGUUCUUGUACACACCGCCCGU
This 1345-nucleotide ribosomal RNA is filed under the name unidentified marine bacterioplankton. Its description in RNAcentral is "bacterial SSU rRNA". It matches the Rfam family "Bacterial small subunit ribosomal RNA". The record is from RNAcentral.